UUCUGGGGUUGGAUCUAUGGGGCCCUAUGGGGUUGGGAUCUAUUGGGGGUCCAUUUUGGGGUUGGAUCUAUGGGGCCCAUGGGGUUGGAUCUAUGGGGUGAGAUCUUGUGGGGUCAUUGGAUAUCUAUUGGGGUUGGAUCUAUUGGGGUGGGAUCUGUGGGGGCUCGUAAUUAAAAAAAACAAAAAAAAGUUAUGGGGGUUGGAUCUAUGGGGUUGGAAUCUGGGGUUAUUGAUAUCUAUUGGGGUCGGAUCUAAUUGGGUUAGAUUUGUGGGGCUCAUUGAUGUCCUAUGGGUCGGAUCUAUGGGGCUCAUUGAGAUCUAUGGGCUGGAGGGAUUUAUUGCGGCUAGGAGUUGGGUUUAUAGUUUUGGUAGGGGAAAAUCUAUGGGGCUGGCUAUGGGGCUGGUGUGUGUUAUGGGGUUGGUAGGCGAUCUAUGGGGCUGGCUAGUGGGGCUGGCUGUUUUUUUUUUUGUUGUUUUUUUACGGAGGGGUGUUAGGGGAUCUUAAUGGGGCUGGCUGUGUGUUACGGGUUGCCGUAGAGGGAUCUAUGGGGCUGGGCUUAUGGGGCUGGCUGUUGUGUUAUUGGGUGUUGGUUAAGGGGAAUCUAUGGGGGCUGGCUAUGGGGGCUGGCUGUGUGUUACGGGUUUGGUAGGGAUCUGUGGGCUGGCAUAUGGGGCUGGGCUGUGUGUUCAUGGGUGGUAGGGGAAUCUAUUGGGGCUUGGCUUAUGGCGCUGGCUGUGUGUUAACGGGGGUUGGUAGGGAUCUGUGGGGCUGGCUAUGGGCUGGCUUGUGUUUAUGGGGUUGGUAGGGAAUCUAUGGGGCUGGCUAUGACGGGAGGGCGGGGGCUUAGCUGUUGUUAUUUGGGGCUUAUAGUCAGGCUGACACCCCAUAGACCCCAAUAGAUACCCCCCAAACCCCAUAGACCCCUAUUGACACCCCAUAGACCCCUAUUGACACCCCAUAGACCCCUAUACACACUCACUCACUCUACAGACCCCAUAGACCCCAAUAAAGUCUCACCCCACAGACCCCCA
Molecule: long non-coding RNA, 1032 nt
Organism: Coturnix japonica (Japanese quail)
Lineage: Eukaryota; Metazoa; Chordata; Aves; Galliformes; Phasianidae
Source: Ensembl